AUUUUGUGAGCGAGAAUAGACGGAGUUUUAGAAAAUUGCAAUAAAAUUACAUUUAUUAGUGUUCAAAUGUGUUAAAAAUAAGUUUUGUGAUAUUUAUUUGAACUAAAUUAUGCAUAUUAGGGAUGACACGAAUCUUUAUUAAAGGCAAUUGGAUUUCAACUCGAGUAAAGAGAUAUUAAGCACCUUGUCAUUUUUGGCUGAAGGCAGUAAUCUGUAAAGUAAUUAAUAAAUUUACCAGCAGAGAACGAUAACGUUUUUACUGUCGCAAAGGUUACCAUGCAAGAAAGUGCAAUUGAUAACAGAUAAAGAUCUAAAUAAGUCAAAUGCGGAUCCAACUUAAUAUGGUGGAAUGGUGGUGCUAUGCAAGUCUGAUUUAUUUUUAAUAACUGUAUCUACCUACCUAUAGUAAAAAAACCACUUAAGAGGUGUACAAAGGCUGGUGAUGAAGUGGUUUUGCUUGGUGAGUCACUACUACUUAGGAUGUGAGGCAAUUUUAAUUUUUGUAAUGUGUGAUUGAUGCUUGUGUUCUUUUUUUUAGGUGAUUUAAGAUAUGCUCCAUGCGCCUGCCUAAUGACACCAGUGAGUGGUACCGAAGAUAAUUCCCCAGAAGCACUCAUAUUCUGCAAACUAUAAAUCAAACAUUUUACAUCUCCAUGUAUGUACCUAAAAGAAUAAUAAGUGUGGAUAUGUACAAACUUUCAUUAAAAUUUUUGUUUUAUCUUAAUUAUUUUGAAUAAUAAAAUAUACCUAUGUAUAAAUGUAUUUCGUAUUUAAAAUAAUU
This is a long non-coding RNA of Ostrinia nubilalis (European corn borer), 781 nucleotides long. RefSeq lists it as uncharacterized. The record is from RefSeq and is a predicted model, not a curated record. Lineage: Eukaryota; Metazoa; Arthropoda; Insecta; Lepidoptera; Crambidae. The transcript has 3 exons.